GGCAACAACACAAUACUAUAAAUUUAUCACAAACACACAGCCCAGACCCACGGAGCAACAACCCUUUUUAAAUCUAUCUAUCUAUAUAGUAAUCCCCUUCCCCACACGUUUGAUCUCACCCACGGUUAGGCAUUCACAUCUAGUAAUGGCUUACUGCUGCAAGUUCAACAUCACAUCCACCAAGGAAGAAAAGGGAGCAACAGAGUGUAACAUGGUUCACCAUGCUAGCACAUGGCGUCUGCUCUGUAGCACAGCCAAGAAGGAACAGAGAGGAAUGGAGAUAGGGGGAAGUGGUUAUCUCUCUCCUGACUUGUAAAGGUAUUGAAUUACCCAAUUACCAUAUCAAAGGGUAAAGCUUAUCCCCCUGUAAGAAAGGCAUACAUGAGCUUGGUCACAUGACCCCUGGUCACCAUAUUAGUUUGAUGAGAGAAUGUCACCACAAUAGGGAGAUAUGUUCAGUAGAUAAUAUGAAAUCAAAGAGAUUAAUUUUGUUUUCUUCAUGCUGAUUAAUGUCUUUUAUUUCCUGUAACUGAACUAUUCUAGUUUGUACCCCAUCUCCUUCUGUCCCUUAGACAGUCUCUUUGUGAAUGCAGGUAAGUGUACAGUUCAGCAAUGCAAGAGAGGGGUAACUGGCAGACAGAGAGCAAGCGGUACUGAAAGGAAAGUGUGACGAAGUGCCCUUCGCCACUUGUACCUGGAGAGGACUGCUUGCCCGCCUCUUGCCCUGUGACUAUGGCCCCUGGGAUGUAUUGCCCUUUAAAGACAUGAUUUGGGCAUAAUGGAUUUGUGUUGUGCUGCUGCUGGCCCUUUAGGAACCAUCUGGGGACAUACUGUGGAGUUACUGGAUGGCCACCAUUUCCUGUAUCAGAAGCACAUGGUGAGAACAAUGGAUGGAGGCCAUUUUAACUCACAGACACUGUUUGGACUUUUCAACACGGUGCCAUCUUGCCAGUAUUUGGUGCACAGAGACAUCGUGCAGUGGUUUUGGACCAUACAGCAGGGGACACAUUAUAAAGUGAUUGUUUUUCAUUUAGCCUGUAUAUGUUCUGCAGAAUCUGCAUUAAACUGUAUUUUCCAAAGUACUGAACGGAUCUGGGUGAAUUUUGGAUAUGUGGUUCACCC
Molecule: non-coding RNA, 1122 nt
Organism: Pelobates cultripes (western spadefoot toad)
Lineage: Eukaryota; Metazoa; Chordata; Amphibia; Anura; Pelobatidae
Source: the annotation of a GenBank genome assembly